UACGUAGGGUGCAGGCGUUAAUCGGAAUUACUGGGCGUAAAGCGUGCGCAGGCGGUUUGUUAAGACAGGUGUGAAAUCCCCGGGCUUAACCUGGGAACUGCGUUUGAAACUACGGAGCUAGAGUGUGGCAGAGGGGGGUGGAAUUCCACGUGUAGCAGUGAAAUGCGUAGAUAUGUGGAGGAAUACCGAUGGCGAAGGCAGCCCCCUGGGUCGAUACUGACGCUCAUGCACGAAAGCGUGGGGAGCAAACAGG
This 253-nucleotide ribosomal RNA is filed under the name uncultured bacterium. Its description in RNAcentral is "partial 16S ribosomal RNA". It matches the Rfam family "Bacterial small subunit ribosomal RNA", at positions 524 to 776 of the family's 1533-position model. The record is from RNAcentral.